Rattus norvegicus (Norway rat) is the source of this 3429-nucleotide long non-coding RNA. RefSeq lists it as uncharacterized. Lineage: Eukaryota; Metazoa; Chordata; Mammalia; Rodentia; Muridae. The record is from RefSeq and is a predicted model, not a curated record.
AGAAAAGUGUGGACCUGAAAAAGGACACCGCGGCGAAAAGAAGUUUUGUGCAGCCAAUGAAACCGCGGUGGAUUUGGGACGAACUGCGGGCGGUUCAGGAAAACCACAGAGAUGUUUGUUACCUUUUAGCAGUAACUGACCCAGUGCAUUCACCUGCAGUUACUGAGAGUUACUGAGUAGAAUGGCUGCGUCGGGCACAGGAGACUGGCUUUCAAAGUGCUGCUUCAAGGAAUACUCCAUAACACACACCUGGAUAUGAGGUUAUAGAUGUGGACAAUCUCAAGGACACGGCGCUGAGUUUCACAUGUCAAGUGGCCUUUGGACAUGAGGUGGAUGCGUUACAAGAUGUCUUCUACUUGUGUUAUAACAACAAUUGCCCACUUCAAGUUAGGAGGAAAACCCUGAAUUCUCUGGCAAGCAGAGGAAGGACCAUCAGUCCAGAGAUGGUACCACCCACAGUGACCUGGGUCCUUCCACAUCCAUCACCAGUCAUGAAAAUGUCCUAUUUCCUUUGUGUGACAAAAAACAAACAGCAUAUUCUGGUACAGAACAGGACUAAUACCAGAGAGGAUGACAGAACCCCAGAAAAACCAAUCAUAGGGGGUGAUGCAUAAUUCUCAGGAGUCAGAUAGGAGGAACAAUCACGAUAAGCCUCCAGGCUGUCGUGGCAGCCAGAGAAUGCACACAGAGCCACAACAGCAUUCUUAGGAAACAGCAUCGCAGAGAAGAAAAGUUGGGUGCAAACGAGCGUUCUAUCCAGGGUGGCCCAGGUACUUCCCUUGCAGUAGCCAGGCACGGAACAUGGAACCCAAGGAAAGAUGAGGACUCUAAGAAGAGCCUCCCAUUUCCAGAGCGGGUGCUGGUGAGAAUGACUUCUGCAGCUCAUCCCUCAGUGAUGAACUGGUACCUGGAAGUGUAGGAGAAACACACUCUUCUCCCCAGGGUGCAUUUCGGUCGUGGUGUUUUAUCACAGCAGCAAACAUCCUAACUAAGACACUGGAUAUUUCAUCAUAAUUGACAUAUUUUUGUCACUGAUACAAGCACAAAAUGGCUUGAUCACCUGGAUAAAAGCCUCAGCUUUGAGAAAACCUUCUCCCCCUAAAACACUCCCUAAUAAAAGUCCUGAAUUAAUUGAUGAAUGAACUGUGACACAUCCAGACUGUGCAGGGCUAAAAACAUACAAGCUAUCGAGCCAUGGAAAGACACGAAGGAAACUUAAAUAUUGCUAAGUGAAAGAAGCCAAUCUGAAAAGGCUACAUGCUUCAUGAUUCCAAAGGUAGAACCUUCUGCAAAAGGCAAACUGAUGGGAGAGCGAAAAGACCAAUGAUUUCCAGGAGUUAAGAGGGGAGAAGGGAAGCAGUGAACAGGCAGAGCACAGAGGACUUUGAGGACAGUGGGACUACAGUAUUCUCUAUGAUGUUAUCAUGGCCCAUACUUGUCUGUAUGUACUUGUCCAAACCCAUAGCACAUACAUCAAGAGCAAGUCCUAAGGGAAACUCUGGACUUCGGGUAGUAAUGAUGUACGAAUGAAUUCAUUAAGUAUAACUAAUACAAAUUAGGGUGUGUGUGUGUGUGUGUGUGUGUGUGUGUGUGAGUAUGUGUGUGUGAGUAUGUGUGUGUGAGUGUGUGUGUGAGUGUGUGUGAGUGUGAGUGUGUGUGAGUGUGUGUGUGAGUGUGAGUGUAUGUGUGUGAGUGUGUGUAUGUGCGCGUGAGGUGCGCAUAUAUAUAUGUAUAUAUAUAUAGAUAUAUAUAUGCCUCUGUGUGAGGUUCAAACCCAGGACUUGUCUUAGGCCCUCUCUUAGAACAUAUCACAAUGUGCUUUGUCUUUGCCCACGCACCCUAAAAUACAUAUCCUUGAUGUUACUAAGAUGCACGCCCAGAUGUGCAUACUAGAUGAAGAAUGUUCCCCAAAUUCAACCUGGAACCUAUGAAUCUUACCUUAUUUGUAAACAGGGUCUUUCCAGUUGAAACCGUAUCAAGACAAGGUUCUAAUGGAUUAAAUGGUCCCUACGUCCAAUAUGACUAGUGUCUUUAUAAGAAGAUUUGUACCUAGACCAUGUUCAAGAUGCUAUAUGAAAAGAGGAACAGUUGUAAUGACGUAUCUCCAAAACAAAGAACGGAAGGAUUGUCAGACAUCACUAAACCCAGGGAAAGCGGGAGAGAAAGGGGAGCUGAGCUGGCAGAAUAAACAACCUUGACCUUGGUUCUAGACCUCCAGCCUCCAGUACUGUGAGAGAACGGUUUUCUGCUGUUUUGAGUCACUCAGUUUGCAGUGACUUGUUGUGACAUCACAGAAAUUUAAUAUGGCACUUUUGUUUCCCUGGUGUGGUGGUUUUGAAUGAAAAUGUACCCCCUAGGCUCAUAGGGAGUGGUGCUAUUAGGAGGUGUGGCUUUAUUGGAGUAGGUGUGGCCUUGUUAGAGGAAGUAGUCUCUAGGGAUGGGCUUUGAGAUUUCAGAUGCUCAUGCUAGACCCAGUAUCUUUCUGUCUUCCGGCUGCCUGAUUAUCGGGAUGUAGAACUCUCAGCUACCAAGUCUGCCUGGAUGCUGCCAUGCCUCCCGUCAAGAUGCUAAUGGACUAAACAUCUGAACUGGAAGCCAGCCCCAAUUAAAUGCUUUCCUUUAUAAGAGUUGCCAAUGUCAUGGUGUCUCUUCGCAGCAAUGGAAAUCCCGACUAAGAUACCUGGGUACCCUCAGCUCACAAGGUCUUCGUGCCUGAAUGUCACUUGCUUCCUAGUACAAGCAGGCAAUAGUGGUCACUAGAAUUAGAACCUAUUUCGUUGGGGUUCCAAAAUGACUGAAGACCAACAGCUCUCUUGGAGUUUCCCAGGACUCCAGGACCAGAUUGGGACAGCUGAGACAUCCAAUCUCAUGGACUGAACAGCUCUGAAUUCUCAGCCUUUCUGUCAGAAGACAGCCAUUGAGCAUAUCCAUCUAAGCAGUCCUGUUCCUUGGAGAACUCUCAUUAAUACAGGUGGCAAACACUAUUGUCACCCAGCACUUGGCAUAUUGGGGCAGAGACAAGCAGAUACCUGGGACCAUCCAGUCCAGCCAAAGUAGUUCUUGCUUCAGAGGGGUCCCAUCUCAAAUAAGAUAGAGAGUGAUAGAAGAAAAUUGGGGGGAAAUUACAGAUAUGAAGAACAAAAUAGUAGGGACAUUAAAGAGAAUUCAGCCAGAGAAGGUGAAGAUAGAUUUACAAUAUCUGAUUUCAAUUCGUGUCUCAGCUUCUUAGGAAUGUGUUACUUAAGACCAUCCAUGCAUGGCCUAUUUUAAGACCUGUUUGAUGAUAUAUUUAUACGGAAAUGAUUUCAGUUGGCAACUAAAAUGCAUUUUUUUAUUCAAAUACUGUUCGUUAUCUUUGCACAGUUGAGUAAUAUUUUUAAGUAACUUCAUGCAGUUGCCCAUCGGUAUAUGUGAGAGAUUAGUUCUAUA